CCUACGGGUGGCAGCAGUAGGGAAUUUUCGGCAAUGGGGGGAACCCUGACCGAGCAACGCCGCGUGAACGAAGAAGUAUUUCGGUAUGUAAAGUUCUUUUAUUGGAGAAGAAAGAGAAAUUUGACGGUAACCAAUGAAUAAGCUCCGGCUAACUACGUGCCAGCAGCCGCGGUAAUACGUAGGGAGCGAGCGUUAUCCGGAAUUAUUGGGCGUAAAGGGUGCGUAGAUGGUUGAUAUAAGUCUUUUGUAAAAAUGCUAGGCUCAACCUAGUAGGGCAAAAGAUACUGAUGAACUAGAGUACGGCAGAGGCAAGUGGAACUACAUGUGUAGCGGUAAAAUGCGUAAAUAUAUGUAAGAACACCGGUGGCGAAGGCGGCUUGCUGGGCCUGUACUGACAUUGAGGCACGAAAGCGUGGGGAGCAAACAGGAUUAGAUACCCUUGUAGUC
Molecule: ribosomal RNA, 447 nt
Filed under: uncultured bacterium
Lineage: Bacteria
Description: partial 16S ribosomal RNA
Rfam family: Bacterial small subunit ribosomal RNA
Source: RNAcentral